AAUUGCGAUACCCGUUGAUCCUGCGGGAGAUUACUGCUAUUAGGGUUCCACUUAACCAUGCAAGUCAAGGGGACUCUUCGGAGUCACCGGCGGAAUGCUCAGUAACACGUCGAUAAUCUACCCUAAGGUCUAGAAUAACCAUGGGAAACUGUGGCUAAUACUGGAUAGAAAAUUGAUACUGGAAUGUACUUUUUUUGAAAGUUACGACGCCUUAGGAUGGGUCGGCGGCUGAUUAGCUAGUUGGUGAGGUAAUGGCUCACCAAGGCUCAGAUCAGUACGGGCCUUGAGAGAGGGAGCCCGGAGAAGGACACUGAGAAAAGGGUCCUAGCCCUAAGGGGUGCAGCAGGUGGGAAACCUUUACAAUACACGAAAGUGUGAUAAGGGAACCCUAAGUGCUUACCAGUGGUGAGCUUUUAUUAAGUGUAAAUAUCUUGAUGAAUAAGUGGUGGGUAAGACCGGUGCCAGCAGCCGCGGUAACCCCGGCGCCACGAGUGGUAAUCGCGUUUAUUUGGCCUAAAGCGUCCGUAGUCGAUAAAGUCAGUCUUUUGUUAAAUCCUUAUGCUUAACAUAGGGGCCGCAAGAGAUACUGCUUUAUUAGAGAUCGGGAGGAGACAAAGGUAUUCCUUGGGUAGCGGUAAAAUGCGAUAAUCCUUGGAAGACCACCAAUGGCGAAGGCAUUUGUCUAGAACGAAUCUGACGAUCAGGGACGAAAGCUAGGGGAGCAAAAGGGAUUAGAUACCCCUGUAGUCCUAGCUGUAAACGCUGCAAACUAGGUGUUGCAUAUUCUUCGGGAAUAUGCAGUGCCGGAGCGAAGGUGUUAAGUUUGCCGCCUGGGAAGUAUGGUCGCAAGACUGAAACUUAAAGGAAUUGGCGGGGGCGCGCUACAAGGAGUGGAACGUGCGGUUUAAUCAGAUUCUACGCCGUGAACCUCACCAAGAACGACGGCAGGAUGAAGGUCAGAUUAAAGGUUUUACCUGACAAGCCGAGAGGAGGUGCAUGGCCGCCGUCAGUUCGUGCUGUAAAGUGUCCAGUUAAGUCUGGCAACGAACAAGACCUGUAUCCAUAGUUGCUACCGAGUCCUCCGGGACGAUCGAGCACACUAUGGAGACUGCCUGGGAAACAAGGAGGAAGGUGCAGGCAACGGUAGGUGGUAUGCCCUGAAUUUCUUGGGCUACACGCGCGUUACAAUGGUAAGGACAAUAGGAUACAACUCCGAAAGGAGAAGUCAACCCCUGAAACCUUAUCUUAGUUCGGAUUGAGGGCUGCAACUCGCCCUCAUGAAGCUGGAAUUCCUAGUAAUCGGGCGUCAUCAGCACCCGGUGAAUAUGUCAACGUGCCUUGCACACACCGCCCGUCAUUCCAGCCGAGCAGGGUUUAAGUGAGGCUUAUGCUUCAGCAUAUUUCGAACUUAAGCUCAGCAAGGAGGGACAAGUCGUCACAAGGUAGCCGUAGGGGAACCUGCGGCUGGAUCACCUCCUAU
Molecule: ribosomal RNA, 1480 nt
Filed under: Nanobdellota archaeon
Lineage: Archaea; Nanobdellati; Nanobdellota
Description: bacterial SSU rRNA
Rfam family: Archaeal small subunit ribosomal RNA
Source: RNAcentral